CCUACGGGAGGCAGCAGUAGGGAAUUUUCCGCAAUGGGCGGAAGCCUGACGCAGCAACGCCGCGUGAUCGAUUAAGCCCUUCGGGGUGUAAAGAUCUGUCAGUGGAGACGAAACUUAACUGUAACCACAAAGAAAGCACCAGCUAACGCCGUGCACGCAGCCGCGGUAGUACUGAGGGGGCAAGCGUUAGCCUGAAUCAUUGGGCGAAAAGAUAUCGUAGGUGGCAUAGUAAGUCUGGUGUUAAAUGCAAAAGCUCAACUUCUUUUCGGCAAUGGAGAAUGGUACGCUUGAAUGCGCUAGAGGUAGGGGAAUUACUGGUGUAGCGGUGAAAUGCGUAGAUAUAAGGAGGAACACCGGUGGCGUAAGCGCCUUACUGGGCCGUAAUUGACACUGAGGAACGAAAGCGUGGGUAGCAAAUGGGAUUAGAUACCCUAGUAGUC
Molecule: ribosomal RNA, 440 nt
Filed under: uncultured bacterium
Lineage: Bacteria
Description: partial 16S ribosomal RNA
Rfam family: Bacterial small subunit ribosomal RNA
Source: RNAcentral